UACGGAAGGCAGCAGUGGGGAAUAUUGCACAAUGGGCGCAAGCCUGAUGCAGCCAUGCCGCGUGUAUGAAAAAGGCCUUCGGGUUGUAAAGUACUUUCAGUCGUGAGGAAGGUGUUAAGGUUAAUAACCUUAGCAAUUGACGUUAGCGACAGAAGAAGCACCGGCUAACUCCGUGCCAGCAGCCGCGGUAAUACAGAGGGUGCAAGCGUUAAUCGGAAUUACUGGGCGUAAAGCGCGCGUAGGUGGUUCGUUAAGUUGGAUGUGAAAUCCCCGGGCUCAACCUGGGAACUGCAUUCAAACUGACGAGCUAGAGUAUGGUAGAGGGUGGUGGAAUUUUCCUGUGUAGCGGUGAAAUGCGUAGAUAUAGGAAGGAACACCAGUGGCGAAGGCGACCACCUGGGACUGAUACUGACACUGAGGUGCGAAAGCGUGGGGAGCAAACAGGGAUUAGGAUAACC
This 458-nucleotide ribosomal RNA is filed under the name uncultured bacterium. Its description in RNAcentral is "bacterial SSU rRNA". It matches the Rfam family "Bacterial small subunit ribosomal RNA", at positions 340 to 787 of the family's 1533-position model. The record is from RNAcentral.